AGGUAAGCUACUAAGAGCGAAUGGUGGAUGCCUUGACUGGUAAAGGCGAUGAAGGACGUACUAGACUGCGAUAAGCUACGGGGAGCUGUCAAGAAGCUUUGAUCCGUAGAUUUCCGAAUGGGGCAACCCAAUGUAUAGAGAUAUACAUUACCUAUAUAGGAGCGAACGAGGGGAAUUGAAACAUCUUAGUACCCUCAGGAAAAGAAAUCAAUAGAGAUUGCGUCAGUAGCGGCGAGCGAAAGCGCAAGAGGGCAAACCCAGUGCUUGCACUGGGGGUUGUAGGACUGCAAUGUGCAAGAGGUAAGUUUAGCAGAACAUUCUGGAAAGUAUAGCCAUAGAGGGUGAUAGUCCCGUAUGCGAAAAACAAACCUUAGCUAGCAGUAUCCUGAGUAGGGCGGGACACGAGGAAUCCUGUCUGAAUCUGGGUCGACCACGAUCCAACCCUAAAUACUAAUACCAGAUCGAUAGUGCACAAGUACCGUGAGGGAAAGGUGAAAAGAACUGAGGUGAUCAGAGUGAAAUAGAACCUGAAACCAUUUGCUUACAAUCAUUCAGAGCCCUAUGUAGCAAUACAGGGUGAUGGACUGCCUUUUGCAUAAUGAGCCUGCGAGUUGUGGUGUCUGGCAAGGUUAAGCAAACGCGAAGCCGUAGCGAAAGCGAGUCUGAAUAGGGCGCUUAGUCAGAUGCUGCAGACCCGAAACGAAGUGAUCUAUCCAUGAGCAAGUUGAAGCUAGUGUAAGAACUAGUGGAGGACUGAACCCAUAGGCGUUGAAAAGCCCCGGGAUGACUUGUGGAUAGGGGUGAAAGGCCAAUCAAACUUCGUGAUAGCUGGUUCUCUCCGAAAUAUAUUUAGGUAUAGCGUUGUGUCGUAAUAUAAGGGGGUAGAGCACUGAAUGGGCUAGGGCAUACACCAAUGUACCAAACCCUAUCAAACUCCGAAUACCUUAUAUGUAAUCACAGCAGUCAGGCGGCGAGUGAUAAAAUCCGUCGUCAAGAGGGAAACAACCCAGACUACCAGCUAAGGUCCCUAAAUCUUACUUAAGUGGAAAACGAUGUGAAGUUACUUAAACAACCAGGAGGUUGGCUUAGAAGCAGCCAUCCUUUAAAGAAAGCGUAAUAGCUCACUGGUCUAGUGAUUUUGCGCGGAAAAUAUAACGGGGCUAAAGUAAGUACCGAAGCUGUAGACUUGCACACAACUUAGAUUAUUUAAGUUUAGAAUAU
RNAcentral lists this ribosomal RNA (1221 nucleotides) under Campylobacter coli. RNAcentral's name for it is "partial 23S ribosomal RNA". It matches the Rfam family "Bacterial large subunit ribosomal RNA", at positions 1 to 1220 of the family's 2925-position model. Lineage: Bacteria; Pseudomonadati; Campylobacterota; Epsilonproteobacteria; Campylobacterales; Campylobacteraceae. The record is from RNAcentral.